UUUGAUAUGCAGCAUGUGCUGUUGGAUCCGUAUGCCAAAAUGGUUCGAAAUCUUCUUUCUGUUCAGGGUGAUACAAUGACUCCAACCAAGUGUCUUGGUUCUCUGGAAAUGGAACCUAUAUUUGACUGGAGUGGUGAUGUUCAUCCGCAGUUGCCAACAGAGAAGCUGGUGGUUUACAGAUUAAAUGUUGGGCAGUUUACAAUAGAUAACUCGAGCGGGCUCCCAGAAGAUGUUGCUGGGACUUUCGGUGGUGUGAGUGAGAAAGUAGAGCAUUUUAAAGAACUUGGUGUCAAUGCAAUCCUGCUAGAGCCAAUAUUUCCCUUUGAUGUUAACAAAGGCCCUUACUUCCCCUAUCAUUUCUUCUCGGUAAUGGAUGAAUAUGGACAAGAACAUAAUGCUGCUUCAGCAAUCAAUUCUAUGAAGGAGAUGAUCAAGACGCUACAUUCCGAAGGUAUAGAGGUCUUAAUGGAGGUUGUUUUUACUCAUAGUGCUGAAGGUGGAGAUGCGGACUCCCAUGUGAUAUCAUUCCGAGGUAUUGAUAGUUCUUCCUAUUACAUUGUUGACAAGAAUGUUGGAUCAGGAACCAAUAGUCUACUGAAAUGCAAUAACCCCAUUGUCCAGCAAUUAAUAAUAGACAGCCUCCGGCAUUGGGUGGUCGAGUUCCAUGUAGAUGGCUUUUGCUUUAUUAAUUCUUCUUCAAUGGCUAGAGGACAGAAUGGGGAUCAUUUAUCUCGCCCACCUUUGGUGGAAGCUAUAGCAUUUGAUCCAGUACUUUCUAGGACAAAGAUUGUCGCAGACUGCUGGUCCCCGCUUGACAUGUCAUACAUGGAAAUCCAAUUUCCUCAUUGGAAAGCAUGGGCAGAGAUGAACAUGAGAUUUUGCAGUGAUGUAAGGAACUUUUUGAGAGGUGAAGGACUCCUAAGCAAUCUUGCUACUAGACUUUGUGGCAGUGGUGAUCUAUUUUCUUCCAGGGGCCCAGCAUUUUCUUUUAAUUUUGUGACAAAGAACGUUGGACUUCCUCUAGUUGAUUUGGUCAGCUUCAGUACUGCUGAGCUUGCUUCGGAAUUAAGCUGGAACUGUGGCGACGAAGGUCCAACAAACAAUAAUACUGUCCUUGAGACACGUCUUAAGCAGAUACGGAAUUUCUUGUUUGUCUUGUUUGUGUCACUCGGUGUUCCUGUUCUAAAUAUGGGGGAUGAGUGCGGCUACUCCACUGGUGGUUCUCCAUUGUAUGAUGACAGGAAGCCUAUCAAUUGGGAUAGCCUAGGAACAGGCUUCAGUAAGCAAAUUACAAAAUUUAUUGCAUAUCUAGGUUCACUUAGAAUCCGAAGAGGUGAUAUUUUUCAGAGCAAGCACUUUCUUAAAGUAGAAAACAUUGUUUGGUUUGGAAGUAAUCAAUCUGAGCCAAAGUGGGAUGACCCAACAUGCAAGUUUUUGGCUUUGGCUCUGAAGUCAGAAAAGAACUUUGACAUGUCAAAUUCAAACUGCGGUGACUUGUUUAUAUGCUUUAACGCCAGCAAUAAUUUAGAGACUGUUGUUUUGCCCGAACAGCCAGAGGGAAAUGUUUGGCUUCGUUUGGUCGAUACCUCCCUUGCAUUUCCAGGAAUCUUUUCAAAUAGUUGUGAUCCAAAUGUUCAGAAGGCUGAAGGAUCAUCUUCUUAUGAACUGAAGCCUCAUAGUUGUGCCUUAUUUGAAGCCACUGUGGAUUGAACUUUGUGCCUUAUUGUCUUAUAUAACAGCAGGAGUUUCUUGCUGUAUCUAUUGUCUCCUGUUAUCAAUAAAAUGAAGUAUCCUUUCUGUUAGCACUGAAUAAGUGCAAAUGUUUCUAAACCAUUUUAUUUCGCAUGCUUGUUUUUGUACAGUCUCUUAAUGUAUGAUUUUUGCAAUACAUCUUAUGAUAUGUCCAUAUUUUUAUGUGUUACCACACAACCAACUAUUUUGUUAAGGCUCUUCUUUAUCAGUAGCAUAUUCCAAACUUCAGCUUUUAAUUCAAAGCGGCAUGGUUUUAUUCUGAAAUCUGAUUUUUGUUCACUUCCAAUGUUUGAUUCUUUUUCCCUUCUUGUUUGAACUUUCUUAAUUGUAUAUUUUGCAAGACAUGAUUCUUCCUUUCUCCAUCAUUGUGUUAUAUCAUCAUCCUCUUGCUGUAUAUUGAAUCAUCAUCUGGAUAGUUAAAUUUCGUUUGUCAAAAACCAUUAUAUGGCACUAGUUUUACUGUUAGAUUUGGUUUCCUAUUUGACAUGCUCAACCAAAGAUUAGGAGGAGCAACAGUGCAAUCAUAAUAACGAAAACAAGUAUUUAAACACCAAUGGAAACUGUUGUUUUACUAAUAGUCAUGAACCAUGGAGAAAGCUUUAUUCUACAUUGUAUUGGUAGUUCAAGCAUAACUCAGAUUAUGAGUUAGUUUCCACUUUAGAAGUAGAAGAAGUUAAAAGAAAUUUUAUUCAAGAAGAUAAUUAGGUCAUUAUGAUGGAAAACUUGGACCAUAUUAUGCCGAGACAACAUCAUAUAUGAGAUUCAGGAAACCUGGCCCAUACUUGGGAGUCCCUUGACUAAUCUGAGAAUACUAUGAAUUGACUAGAGAGCAAGUGUAACAGAGAAGACAUCCAGAUUAAAUACAGAAGAAUACCCCAUACGCAUAAUAUCUAUUCUAGAGAAGGCAGCUAAAUGGAUCUUCCACAAAACUAUAGUGUUGCCAAAUUUUUCUCAGGAUGUUGACUAAAUCUUGUCUAGUUGAUCAAUUAAAAGUGCCAAGCCAUAUAGUCCACAGAGUAAUCAGUUAAACCCACCAAGGCCAAUAAUAGUUACAGUCCAAAAUGAUUGUCUAAGGAUUUCAAGUGUCAAUAAAUCUGAACUACAAAGUUUGGCUCUAAUGGACUGUCAAUGCUCAUAAUGACAUAUUCAGCAGUUUAAAACUAAGCCUUGGUUUGGGACCCAUAAUCUACUGUUUAGAAACAAUUGGACAAGAUCAAAUAUAGCUCAAAAGUUUACUAACAGUGUCAACUAUUUGGAAUUCGAUGAAAAAUUAAAAAGUAAUUUUGUUGAAGCUAGAAGAAUAAAAGGCAACCCAGCAUUGUUGCAAACAAAAAUCUGAUGAUGUACUAAAUGUUACAAUUGUUACCAAGAAGCAACAAACUAAAAUAUCUCAUAACAUAACACAGUAUUUAUUGAAAAUGGGAUUGGUGCCGUCAUAAUGCCCUUCGUUUGCAAUUAUUCUGGAAGGUAUACGUUGGAUCUGGAUUUUGAUUCAGCAAAGGCUCCCUUUUAUCUAUCAUUUAUGCUGCAUUUGUGUUCUGAUGCUGGUGUUGUUGCCUCGGAGAUUAAAACGCACAGAAAGACAAGAUUUUGUGUGCCUGUGGGUUUUGGCCCAGGAUAUCCUGCGUCCUUGGGUGCUUCUGUUUCCGAUGAUGGAAUGGUCAAUUUCUCUUUGUUUUUGAGGAAUGCUGAGAGCGUUUUCCUCUGCCUCUAUGAAGGGAAAACAGAGGUUCCAUCUUUAGAGAUCGAACUGGAUCCUUAUGUCAAUCGUACAGGUGAUAUCUGGCACGUCUCGAUGGAGAGCAUCGUGGACUAUGUGAGCUACGGUUAUCGUUGCAAAGGACCAGUAGAUAAAGAGGUGGAUUCAAUAUGCAGCAUGUGCUGUUGGAUCCGUAUGCCAAAAUGGUUCGAAAUCUUCUUUCUGUUCAGAGUGAUACAAUGACUCCAACCAAGUAUCUUGGUUCUUUGGAAAUAGAACCUAUAUUUGACUGGAGUGGUGAUGUUCAUCCGCGGUUGCCAACAGAGAAGCUCGUGGUUUACAGAUUAAAUGUGGGGCAGUUCACAAGAGAUAACUCGA
RNAcentral lists this long non-coding RNA (3829 nucleotides) under Musa acuminata (dwarf banana). Its description in RNAcentral is "long non-coding RNA (MACU_LNC003201)". Lineage: Eukaryota; Viridiplantae; Streptophyta; Magnoliopsida; Zingiberales; Musaceae. The record is from RNAcentral.